RNAcentral lists this ribosomal RNA (253 nucleotides) under uncultured bacterium. RNAcentral's name for it is "partial 16S ribosomal RNA". It matches the Rfam family "Bacterial small subunit ribosomal RNA", at positions 524 to 776 of the family's 1533-position model. The record is from RNAcentral.
UACAGAGGUCUCAAGCGUUGUUCGGAUUCAUUGGGCGUAAAGGGUGCGUAGGCGGCGCGGUAAGUCGGGUGUGAAAUCUCGGAGCUUAACUCCGAAACUGCAUUCGAUACUGCCGUGCUUGAGGACUGGAGAGGAGACUGGAAUUUACGGUGUAGCGGUGAAAUGCGUAGAUAUCGUAAGGAAGACCAGUGGCGAAGGCGGGUCUCUGGACAGUUCCUGACGCUGAGGCACGAAGUCCAGGGGAGCAAACGGG